GUCUCUGUGGCUCAAUUGGUUAGUGCGUUGGGCUGUUAACCGAAAGGGCGGGUGGUUCAAGCCCACCCAGGGACG
Molecule: non-coding RNA, 75 nt
Organism: Microtus oregoni (creeping vole)
Lineage: Eukaryota; Metazoa; Chordata; Mammalia; Rodentia; Cricetidae
Source: the annotation of a RefSeq genome assembly